GAAGUGUGGACGCCAGUCUGCAUGGAGCCGACCUUGAAAUACCACCCUUUAAUGUUUGAUGUUCUAACGUUGACCCGUAAUCCGGGUUGCGGACAGUGUCUGGUGGGUAGUUUGACUGGGGCGGUCUCCUCCUAAAGAGUAACGGAGGAGCACGAAGGUUGGCUAAUCCUGGUCGGACAUCAGGAGGUUAGUGCAAUGGCAUAAGCCAGCUUGACUGCGAGCGUGACGGCGCGAGCAGGUGCGAAAGCAGGUCAUAGUGAUCCGGUGGUUCUGAAUGGAAGGGCCAUCGCUCAACGGAUAAAAGGUACUCCGGGGAUAACAGGCUGAUACCGCCCAAGAGUUCAUAUCGACGGCGGUGUUUGGCACCUCGAUGUCGGCUCAUCACAUCCUGGGGCUGAAGUAGGUCCCAAGGGUAUGGCUGUUCGCCAUUUAAAGUGGUACGCGAGCUGGGUUUAGAACGUCGUGAGACAGUUCGGUCCCUAUCUGCCGUGGGCGCUGGAGAACUGAGGGGGGCUGCUCCUAGUACGA
This 528-nucleotide ribosomal RNA is filed under the name Escherichia coli. Its description in RNAcentral is "partial 23S ribosomal RNA". It matches the Rfam family "Bacterial large subunit ribosomal RNA", at positions 2159 to 2686 of the family's 2925-position model. The record is from RNAcentral. Lineage: Bacteria; Pseudomonadati; Pseudomonadota; Gammaproteobacteria; Enterobacterales; Enterobacteriaceae.